CAGCAGCCGCGGGAAAACGAAGGGGGCUAGCGUUGUUCGGAAUUACUGGGCGUAAAGGGUGCGUAGGCGGGAUCUUAAGUCAGGGGUGAAAUCCCGAGACUCAACCUCGGAACUGCCUUUGAUACUGGGGUCCUUGAGUCCGGAAGAGGUGAGUGGAACUGCGAGUGUAGAGGUGAAAUUCGUAGAUAUUCGCAAGAACACCGGUGGCGAAGGCGGCUCACUGGUCCGGAACUGAUGCUGAGGCACGACAGCGUGGGGAGCAAACAGGAUUAGAGACCCGAGUAGUCCCUGUCUCUUAUAC
This 301-nucleotide ribosomal RNA is filed under the name uncultured bacterium. Its description in RNAcentral is "partial 16S ribosomal RNA". It matches the Rfam family "Bacterial small subunit ribosomal RNA", at positions 509 to 807 of the family's 1533-position model. The record is from RNAcentral.